UCUCAGUGGAUUUCUGCAGGUUUAUUCUGGACGGACGUCAGAGACGACGAUCUCCUCUUAUCUUUGCCGCACAGUUUGAAAGCCUCUGAUCUACAGCAGCAGAGAGGAGGAUGGCACAUCAACACACAUCAGAUUCAGUCCUGCAGCGGCAGGUGCUGUUAAACUUUCCCGCCUUUCCACAUCACCUGAUUCUGCCAACACACCUGCUCCUCAUUUCAUCCAAUCAGCUAAACUACCCCAAUUUCACCGUCUGCUAUCCAUACUUACAGACGGGGGACAAAUGGAGAGACAAACCUGAGUAAAGAGUGGAGAAACAUAUCAGAUGGAGAUGCUUCUCACUGAAUGGUUUGGUGAGGAUGAAAAUGAUGUGAAUAAAAUGCUACUGUUAUGGUUUAUGGUUUGUAGUUGAGUAUUUCCUGUUUUAUUUUGUAGUGUUCUGCCUCAUGUGUCUUAUUUAGUUUUACUUCCUGCCUUUGUUUGCUUUUCCUGCCAGUUUUGAUUGUUUGCCCUGCCCUGAUUGGUUUCACCUGUCUCGUUUUCUGCCCUCACCUGAAAGUGUAUUUAAGUCUGUGUGCUUCCUUUGUUCUGUGCCAGUUCACCUUCGUCAGCCUGUGUCACGUGUCCCAGCCCUUUUCCUCUUGUUUUCUUGUGUUUUUGACUUCCUACCCCGGUAUUUGGACUCUCUGCCUGAUUUUUAUUUGGAUUAUGGAUUAUUUGCCUGUUGCCUUUGGCUGUGUUUGCCUGAUUUGGACUGCCUUUUUGGAUUUGAUCUCUGACUGCC
Molecule: long non-coding RNA, 781 nt
Organism: Siniperca chuatsi (mandarin fish)
Lineage: Eukaryota; Metazoa; Chordata; Actinopteri; Centrarchiformes; Sinipercidae
Exons: 3
Source: RefSeq, a predicted model, not a curated record